This 447-nucleotide ribosomal RNA is filed under the name uncultured bacterium. RNAcentral describes it as "bacterial SSU rRNA". It matches the Rfam family "Bacterial small subunit ribosomal RNA", at positions 355 to 825 of the family's 1533-position model. The record is from RNAcentral.
UAGGGAAUAUUGGACAAUGGGUGAGAGCCUGAUCCAGCCAUGCCGCGUGAGUGACGAAGGCCUUAGGGUUGUAAAGCUCUUUUGGCGGGGAAGAUAAUGACGGUACCCGCAGAAUAAGCUCCGGCUAACUUCGUGCCAGCAGCCGCGGUAAUACGAAGGGAGCUAGCGUUGUUCGGAAUCACUGGGCGUAAAGCGCACGUAGGUGGGCAGUUAAGUCAGGGGUGAAAGCCCGAGGCUCAACCUCGGAAUUGCCUCUGAUACUGGCUGUCUAGAGUUCGAGAGAGGUGAGUGGAAUUCCUAGUGUAGAGGUGAAAUUCGUAGAUAUUAGGAAGAACACCGGUGGCGAAGGCGGCUCACUGGCUCGAUACUGACACUGAGGCGCGAAAGCGUGGGGAGCAAACAGGAUUAGAUACCCCAGUAGUCCCUGAGCGGGCUGGCAAGGCGCAU